Molecule: long non-coding RNA, 1623 nt
Filed under: Olea europaea subsp. europaea
Lineage: Eukaryota; Viridiplantae; Streptophyta; Magnoliopsida; Lamiales; Oleaceae
Source: RNAcentral
UGUUUCUUUGUGCUGUGUUUACUACUGGAAUUAAAAAAAGUGAAAAGAAAGAUGAUUAAUUGAGAUUCAAGCUUAUCCUAUUAUGAAUAAUUACAUUUUACAGUUAGAAGAAUAUCACAAUCACAAUCACAAUCAAUUCUUCUAUCUUACUUGAAUCUUAUACGUGUUUUGAAAGGGAAUUUGUUACUGUUUUGUGGCAAUGAAGCAUAAGAAGGAAAUCUGUAGAGACAGUUCAUAUCCUAUCAUUUAUAUUUUACCAAACAAUUUGCCUUGAUGGAGGGUACAUCGUCUAGAAAUGAAUAAGCAGAUGUGGAAUGUGUAGACAAUGGAGAUUUCGUAUUUGAGAAGCCCUUUUUAUAUAAUCCCAAUGUUAAAUCCUUGCCUAUUUAAUUGUAUUCCUAAUAUUUCUAUGGCAAGUUUGGAAGGAAUUGGUUGUUGUUAGAUUGGCUACUUCUUUAAGAAUGCAUAUCCGUUCGACAAUUACCAUACAUGUAUAUUUAACAUUCAGCAACUAACAUGUAACGCACGUUUUCCUCACUAGUCCCACUAAAAAAAUCGUAAUUUUUGUGCGUUUUUCAUUAUUAAAGUAAUCACUACUUUAUGUACACGUAUAUAAGUUUUUUCUUCAUAAAAUUGCAUAUAUUUUGUCAAGUUGGAAAUUAAUUUAAUCAUGCAACGGCCUAUUUUCAACAUGUUUGGCAGUUUUCAAUGUUUUAAUGAGUUAAUUUCAAUUCAUUAUCACCACCCACCUGCAUUGGCAGCCCAUGUGUGGUCAUUUUAGCAUUCCUUUUUCUGUUUUUUACUUAUUGUUCGUCAAUGUUGGUUGGGGAUUCUUUUUAAAUAUCUUAUUUCUUAAUGUCUCCUAUUUAUUUUUAUUUUUUUUAGGAAAUGCAGAUAUUCUGAUUAAUUAAUUUAAUUUGUCGAUUUGCUUAAUCUAGCGAAGAUUCAUAAUGUAGAACCAGCGUAUUGGCAGGUUUGACUAGGCCUGGGCAAAAAAACCGCCAAACCACCCAAACAGCCAAACCAAACCGAGUUCGGUUUAGAGUAGUCAAAUGGUUUGGUUUGGUUUUUUGUAGACAAAAUCACGGUGGUUUGGUUUGGUUCAUGGUUUGAAUACCAAAACCGAUGGUUAACCGCCCAACCCGUUACAUAUUGAAACAUUUAAAAAAAAAAAAAAAAGAAAGAAAGAAAGAAAGGGGACUCAUAGACGAAGUAGGACUGUAGGAGUCAAAAUAAAUAUGAUAACCCACUAACUCUAAAUCUUUCCAAGUCUCCAAUCGAGCCUCAAUUUCUCAUUCCUUUCCAGACUCCAAUCUCUCCCGUUGCAAUUCAAAAAUUAUCUUACAAGUUAUUUCCAUAUUCUAUCUCUGAGUUUCGACACCACAAUUUGACUAUUGCUCUGCCAGAAAUUGCUGCAGCCUCUAUGAAUCGUAGCUUUCCAUCCUCUAGUGUCUAAAUCUUAUAUUAAUUAUCUAUGGGAAUAUAGUGUCACUUUGUAAUUCAUGAUUUGUAAUUUGUAGUUUGCUAAACUUUUGUAAUUUGUAACUUUUAUUCUUUGAAUUGAAUCUAAUAUGUUAAACCUUUGUAAUUUUUGUUCCUGUCUUUCUCUUUCUUGAAUUGUGG